This 459-nucleotide ribosomal RNA is filed under the name uncultured bacterium. Its description in RNAcentral is "partial 16S ribosomal RNA". It matches the Rfam family "Bacterial small subunit ribosomal RNA", at positions 338 to 795 of the family's 1533-position model. The record is from RNAcentral.
CCUACGGGAGGCAGCAGUGAGGAAUAUUGGUCAAUGGCCGGAAGGCUGAACCAGCCAUGCCGCGUGAAGGUCAGUGCCCUAUGGGUUGUAAACUUCUAUUAUAUGGGAAUAAAACAGGGGAUGCAUACCCACUUGUAUGUACCAUAUGAAUAAGGAUCGGCUAACUCCGUGCCAGCAGCCGCGGUAAUACGGAGGUUCCGAGCGGUAUCUGGAUUUUGUGGGUUUAAAGGGAGCGUAGGUGGAUUGGUAAGUCAGUUGUGAAAGUUUGCGGCUCAACCGUAAAAUUGCAGUGGAAACUGGCAGUCUUGAGUACAGUAGAGGUGGGCGGAAUUCGUGGUGUAGCGGUGAAAUGCUUAGAUAUCACGAGAAACUCCGAUUGCGAAGGCAGCUCACUGGACUGCAACUGACACUGAUGCUCGAAAGUGUGGGUAUCAAACAGGAUUAGAUACCCUUGUAGUU